CCUACGGGAGGCAGCAGUGGGGAAUAUUGCACAAUGGGGGGAACCCUGAUGCAGCGACGCCGCGUGAGUGAAGAAGUAUUUCGGUAUGUAAAGCUCUAUCAGCAGGGAAGCAAAUGACGGUACCUGACUAAGAAGCCCCGGCUAACUACGUGCCAGCAGCCGCGGUAAUACGGAGGGGGCAAGCGUUAUCCGGAUUUACUGGGCGUAAAGGGAGCGCAGACGGCUGUGCAAGUCUGGAGUGAAAGGUGGGGGCCCAACCCACGGACUGCUCUGGAAACUGUAAAGCUGGAGUGCAGGAGAGGUAAGCGGAAGUCCUAGUGUAGCGGUGAAAUGCGUAGAUAUUAGGAGGAACACCAGUGGCGAAGGCGGCUUACUGGACUGCAACUGACGUUGAGGCUCGAAAGCGUGGGGAGCAAACAGGAUUAGAUACCCCUGUAGUC
This 440-nucleotide ribosomal RNA is filed under the name uncultured bacterium. RNAcentral's name for it is "partial 16S ribosomal RNA". It matches the Rfam family "Bacterial small subunit ribosomal RNA", at positions 338 to 795 of the family's 1533-position model. The record is from RNAcentral.